AGGGCUGCCUGCGGCCGUGACCCUGCUGGAGUGCGGGGGGGACCUCCAGCCCCCCGGGGGGUCCCUGCGCCUCCUCUGCCGAGCAUCUGGAUUCGAUUUUGGGAGUUUUGGAAUGUUCUGGAUCCAACAGAAAUCUUGGAAAACGCUGGAAUACGUUGCGAGUAUCAACAGCGGUGACAGCACCCACUACGCGCCGUCGGUGCAGGGUCGGUUCACGAUCUCCAGGGACAACGGGCAGAGCUCGGUGACGCUGACCAUGACCGACCUGCGGGACGAGGAUUCCGGAUCCUAUUUCUGUGCCAAAGCUCCUGAUUCUGGUGUUUUUGCUGUUGCUCUUCCUGCUGGUGGUGACGCCGGUGGUGCUGGCCAUGGCAUUUCUGGCCCCGCCCCCAUCCCUGCGUCCCCACCUGUCCCCAAACCCCGGGUCCUCCCCCCAGUCCCACCUGAAUUCGUGUCCCCAGCCCCGGGCCCAGCGCUGACCUUCAGUGCAGGCUCUGGGCAGGAUCGACGGCCGAGGAUCGUGAACCGGCCCUUGACCGAAUCCGCGUAG
Haemorhous mexicanus (house finch) is the source of this 550-nucleotide non-coding RNA. NCBI's taxonomy places the organism in Eukaryota, Metazoa, Chordata, Aves, Passeriformes, Fringillidae. The record is from the annotation of a RefSeq genome assembly.